Molecule: long non-coding RNA, 3342 nt
Organism: Lemur catta (Ring-tailed lemur)
Lineage: Eukaryota; Metazoa; Chordata; Mammalia; Primates; Lemuridae
Exons: 2
Source: RefSeq, a predicted model, not a curated record
CCCGCAGGCCUGCUCGGGCUGCUGGGGCCGGGACGGAGUCUUGGAACCCAGAUGGGUGCGGGGAGAACAGUGAGAAGUGCUCAGACCAGGGAUGGAAUGGUAGGAUGCCACCAGUCAAUGAUAGGUAGACAGUGACGCCUGGAGGCCCUGCUGCCAUGAACACCAAGCUCAGGGACCUCCCAAGGGGGUCCCUUUCCUCCUAAGGGACUGUAGUCACAGGAGCCACAUCCUGGCAGGUCAGCACCCACCACGUGCUGCCCCCUCCCCCUUCCUGCAGCUGUGGUGCAGAAUCUAAUACCAAUAACUGGGUGCCGUGGACACACACGCACACGCACGCAUACACACACAGACACACAUGUACGUGGCUUUAUUUGACAAUCGGCUACUUUCCCUUGAGCAGAACAAGCCAGCAGUGUUGAACUGGGGGGGGGUGGAUCUAGAAAACCUGGGCUAGUGGAAAAAAGUGUUCCACGAAGUUUAAGAUCAGCUGCCCCGGAGGGGCUUCGUGGAGACCGACUCCCGGGAGAACAUGAGCUGAUGCGAUGGCCAACCUGGGCGUCUUGCCCAGCCAGAGGAAAGGGAGGGGAAAGGAGCUUCAGGCGGGUGGAAAAACCCCUGCGGGGAGGGGGCGCUUGGGCACCAAGGUGUCCAGGAGAGCAAGUCUGCAGAGGCCAGAGACGGUUUAACACCUUCACGAAAUAGCUCCGCUUCCUAACACGGAACAUUUGCCGAGAGGGCCCCUUUUCUCCUCCGGGAGGCCUGGCUCACAGGACUGGACACAAAAGCAGGUAGAAUGUCCCUUUCAGUCCGCAGAGUGCCCCCUCCCUGUCCCACUGGUGGGUAUUUUCCAUGGAAUUGCGGCUCCCGGUCUCUCCCGGCACCGGCUGGGGUUUUCUUCUCCAUGGUUGUUCGGAGCCGCGGGCCGGCAGCAGGGCGGUGGGUUCUGCUGGCUGCGUGCGAGCGGAUGCUGGCCAGGCCCUGUUUAUCCUGGCUCCAGGGCCGGCUGAAAACGCAGACCCGAGCCAAGGCCGGGAACGUGGCAGGAACAGGGGGUGGGGUGCCAAGCAAGGGGACAGGCCCCAGGGUGUAACGUGUCACCUGAGAAAGCUUGGGCCGAGGCCAGAAGGCACCCAGUGGUCCUCACCUGCCUUCUGCCCCUGGGUUGGUCAAAUAACUCUAAACCAGGUAUAGAAUAUUGGUUAGAGGUUGGCAAAGCUGGGUUCAAAUCCAAUCUCUGCCGCUUAUUGGCUUGGGCAGGUUAUUCGCCUCUCUGAGCCUCAGUUUUCUCAUCCCUAAAGUGGGAAUUUUGCCGAUACUGAGAUGAUAUCUCCGAAGGGCCUGGUGCAGUGUCUGGCAGAGAGAAGAUGCUCACUGGGUGUUUGUUUCCUUCCUGCUGGCUUCAUGUCCUCAGGGAACAUGCUCUCUGGGGUGGGGUUGGGGGUGACGGGGGAGUCUGGGUGGCAGAGCUGGGGCCAUGGGAACACUAACUCCUCAUCCUAAACCAGGAAUCAGCGAACCUGUUCUGUGAAGGGCUUUGUGGGCCACGUGGUCUCUGUGGAAGCAGCUCACCUUUGCUGUUCUAGCACGAGCAGCCACAAACAAUACACAACAUGAAUGAGUAUGGUUGUGUUCCGGUAAAACUUCAUAGACACUGACAUUUGAAUUUUACACAACUUUCACAGGUCCUGAAAUGUCAUUCUUGUUUUGAUUCUUUUCCAACCACUUAAAAGUGCAGAGACACUCUUAGACGUAUGGACUGUACCCAAAAAGGCGGUAGGCCAGAUUUGGCCCGUGGACUGUGGCUUGCCAGCGUGGCCCCAAGACCACCAUCGGGCUAGCAAGCAACAUCACUCUCUCAAGUCCUAAGAAGGCAAUGAAGCAGUCUGAGAAAAGUGGAAUCUGCUUUCCUUUGCUCUUUCUGGAAAUAAAUUCGCAGAGACUGACCCAAGUUUUAAUAGCCAUUGUAUGAAGUAAAGGGAUCACUUAGAGACUAGAUUUCACUGAGAGGUUAAAAAACCAGACCCGGCAGUCUAGUGAGGGAUUUAAGUCAUCCCAGGGAGCUAACAUGCAUCGAGUGCUUACCACAUCCCGGGUACUUUUCUAGCUCCUUCCAGGUGAUCUCUCAUUUAGUCCUAACAGAUGAGGACAGAGACCCCCAAAUGUUCAGUAACUUGCCCAAGGCUACUGCUUGUAACCUGGCCUUACAGGCCCCUCCCAGGGUCUGUGAAGUCUCUGCCAUUUUUAUGAAGGCUCUGGAAGACGGCAAGCAAAGCCCGGUCCCUGCCUUCAGGCGGGAAGACAGACCCGAGUCUCCCUGGCUGUGCACGUGCGCCCUGGUGCUCGGCCGCCUGCUUCCUCUGCUGCACGCGGCCCGCCUCUCAGUGGGCAGAGAGCAAAGGGGCUGCCGGCCAGCCGUGGCAGCAGCUCGGUUGUUGAAAGGCUGUGUUUGGUCAGUUAUUUUACUGUCUUAUUGCAUGUUGUCCUAGUCAGUUUGUAAAAACAGGUAGAAAACAGACAAAUGGAAGUGCAUAUGUUUGCAAUAUGAAGAUUGUGUCUCAAACUUGAGAAACUUAAUAAUUGUCAUUAUUUUACCUUUUACUGAGCACCUACUAGGUUACCAGGUCCAGCGCAUCACAUGGAUCAACUCACUUUGGGGGCACUGUCGCUGUCCCCACUUAACAGAUGAGGAAACUGAGCCCCGGAGAGGAGGGGUAAUUUGUCCAAAUCACGCAGUUGCUGGACACAGAUGGAACAGUCAGAUCCUCCGGAUCUUGUGACUCUGCGGCCUCGGAACGCCCGAGCGCCCACGCACAGAAAAAAGACAGGAAGGAAACCCAGAACCUGAAAAGUGGCUCUCUGUGGAUGAUAGCGGGACCCAUGAUUUUUAUCUUCUUUUAAUGUCUGCUUACAUAUUCCUGGUGUUUUAUGAUGAGUUUCUGUUAAGAAAUAUCCACUACAUGACCUUUUUGUAAAAGCAAGCUUGUGUCAGUCGGCAGGAUACCGGAGCCCUGGUGCGAGGCCACGAAGCCCCUGACCACAGGCCUCUGAAAACCCUGCUAAAAAGUAAGACAGAGCGGGGAGCCAGGACCUCUGCUUCUUGGAACUGCCUAAUCCAUCCUAUAAUACCUUGCUUUGUAGGAAAGUUCUGUGCAUAAAUCCCAUAAAAUCCCAUAAUGUGGAGCUGACACUGAGCCUACCCAGAACAAAAUCUGCUAAUGAUCACUGCUUGCCAAGAGCCUGCAGAAAACGAUCGGACGUGUUGCAACCCCCAUGCCUGCCUCCUGCCUAAGCCCUUUCUAAUAAGGACUCUUUUCAUGAGUUUAUAAAAACACUUUGUUCAGA